RNAcentral lists this long non-coding RNA (299 nucleotides) under Zea mays. RNAcentral's name for it is "drought responsive lncRNA". The record is from RNAcentral. Lineage: Eukaryota; Viridiplantae; Streptophyta; Magnoliopsida; Poales; Poaceae.
UAGGAAGAGGAGCUGGAAGCAAGGAUCAGAUUGCUUGAAGUGUGAAAAAAAUGAUUACUCGCAUGCAUGCUAGCUGUUGGCGUAACACCCAGCCGAUGGAGAGAUUUUAGUUUGCUAGAUGUAUAUUUAUACUUUUGCAUGUAAUAGAACUGAAAGAUCACUUCAAAAAAUUAGGAAAUUCGUGUAUGCUAUUAUUUUUAUAUGUUCAUCACAGGAAUCGUGUUCUAAACAAAUAUAUGUUGGAAUUCAAAGUCAAAGAUUGAUCUCUUUCUUUUACUAAUCAAAUUUCAUAUAUUCUG